Non-coding RNA from Cucurbita pepo subsp. pepo (vegetable marrow), 1667 nucleotides. NCBI's taxonomy places the organism in Eukaryota, Viridiplantae, Streptophyta, Magnoliopsida, Cucurbitales, Cucurbitaceae. The record is from RefSeq and is a predicted model, not a curated record.
AUAGUCUUGAUCCUUGAUGAUCAAGGCUCGAGGUUUGGGCCAGAGUUGGGCACAAUCCGAGGGAACCCACCAUCAAUUUUCUCAAUUGGAGCUGAAUUUUACAGAAGGACGCUCAAUUCACUUUCUGGGGUUUCACAGUUCUUCCUCUUCCACCCUUUGCGGAAAUGGCUGAAGCAAAGAAAUCAAACCCUGAUGUGGAGAAGAGGGUGAUGGUGGCCGUAGACGAGAGUGAGUGUAGCUACUAUGCCCUAAUCUGGGUACUGGAAAAUCUUAAACAAUCCAUUACCGACGCGCCUCUUUUCAUCUUCACCGCUCUACCUCCGCCCACCAGUUAUACCUCCGGUGCCGGUGCUUCUCUCGGCCUCGCGCGAUCGUAUUUCCCUGUCGCAUCCAAUACCGAGUUGUCUCAUACGCUUCAAGAGAAUGAUAAGAAAGUUAGAUGCGGCAUCCUAGAGAAAGCAAAAGAUAUCUGUGCUGAAAGAGGGGUGGCUGCGAUAUCCAUCACAGAGGUUGGGGAUCCUGGAAGGACGAUAUGUGAUACGGUUGAAAAGCUCAAUAUAAAUUUGCUUGUUUUGGGUGAUCAUGGCAUUGGGAGAAUUAAGAGAGCUCUUAUCGGGAGUGUGAGCAACUACUGUGUUCAAAAUGCCAAGUGCCCUGUCCUUGUCGUGAAGAAACCAUAGGAAAAUGAGGCCUUUCCUCAUAGUAUAAACUUGAAGAAAUCUGUCAACCAAAGAUGCUAUUCAAAACAGCUGCUAAUCUGACUCCGCCUUGUGCCAACCGCAGGACAUACAGUUGAAGUUGGGUUAUUAUGUUUACAUGGUGUAGAUUUUGCUUUCUGGUGUACCAGUGAACUUCAAUCGUGUUUCCUCCCUUGUCUUCAGCAAACCCAACAUGAAGAGGCUGCAUUUUAUGUCAGAAGCUGGGAAGUAUAGUUGUUAAUGGCCCCUGCAACGCACCGACCUUCCACUCCAUUUUCGUCUUUGCAGUCCCCUUUCGACCCAAACGACAAAAGUUCAGAACCAGAAAGGUGAGAGAAAUUACAACAACAGAGAGGGGAUGGAAACAGAGUAACUCAACUGGCAUAUUGGUAAGUGCAAAGGGAUUCUGGAGUAUUAACAUAAUGAAGAGCCGAUGACCAUCGAUAUCGAAACUUGAUUCGAUCAGCCCAAAUACAAACGUUCGCCAAUUCACCAUUUGCAUACUCAGGCAACAGUCGCUGCACUGCAUCAGCUGCUGCUCUGCUCAACCGCGACUGUCGCAAGCAAAAACAAACAUCAAAUUCUUCAUCAAAGAGGUAAACAAGGGGGAAUUGGUUUCAAUGAACGUGAAGAUCAAGAACCUGAGCGAUCUUGCAGAUGGUAAAAUGGCCAUCGAGGCCCCAACCAAAGCUAACAGGAAAGAUGAACACCAAGAACACUAGAAGACCCGCCAUGAAAGCUCUGCAGGGCUUCAUUUUUAGCUCCUGUUCUUGUUCUUCUGGUGAUUUGAUUCAUUUUUGUGUUUGAAUCUGUGCUUAAAUAGAGUGAUGAAUGCAAGAAAUCUCAGAAAGUAUGAACAGUUUAGAAACGCAUUCAAUUUCGUUGUGCUCAUAUGAGAUAUGCUAAGUGCUCUGUCACGCUGAAGUAGUUAAGGUAAAGUUUUAAAUUAUGGAACCGUUACCCUUUUGC